GCCCCCUCGGCAGCGCAAGCGCCAAGAGUCGUUUUUGCGUCAGUUGGUGCAGGCGAAUGGAAGCCAAAGUUGAGUACUGGAGUCGGGUCCAGUUCCCGGAGUGAUGGGAGGCUACGCGGGACUAGACGAGACAGAAGAUUCUACCAAGCGAGAAGCGAGGCAGCCCUUAGAGGUGUGUAAUUUUCAGCCUGCUGUGCCUCCCUCGGCCUCAACACGCAAAAAGAUCAGAUAUGAAAGAGAAUCGGAUUCGUCCAUCCUGGACCCAGCAAUUCUAGACCUCUAGCCUAUGGAGAUUGGUACACAAGGGGACCUCAACCAAGAACUUAGAAGGGUAGAGGGAAAAUUAUUUUUCCUCCCUACACACCCUUACUCAGGAAUCUGUUGAAAGAGGUGCUCCUCCAUAUGAAUGUGUAAACCAAGAAAGAGGAAGACAUGGAAUCUAGAAAAUGAGAGAUUUAAUACAGAAAGAAAAAUGUUAAUGGGAAAAGCACACUAGUUGUGUGACCUAAGACCUGGGAGCCAUCUCUUUGGAAAGAAAUCGUCAUCAAAGAAGAUAAUGCCCAACUGUCCAGUUUCUGCAGAGGAGAUGGGCCUAACUUGUCACCAAACUCCAAACUGCAAAACUUACUUAAUGUAAUGGUUAUAUCCACUUGGCUAUUGUUAAAUUAAUUAAACAAAGAGCCCAUUAGACUGAGAUGACUCUAAUGCCUUGGUGCUCUUCCUAAGCAAACCAAAACCUAAGCCUAUAAAUGUUUGAAGGUUAAGAAAUCAAAACACUAAGGACAAUCAGUAACACCCAACUAUGCUUUAAGCUAUAGCCAAUCAAAUAAUUUCCUUUCUUUGCUUCCACACUUUCUUUAUAUAAGUCUUUCCCCUGUCUCCUGUUCUUGGAAUGCCCCUAACCACUUCUGGUCUAGCGCUGCCCAAUUGGAAUUAAUUUUUGCUCAAAUAAACUCUUAAAAUUUUUAA
Long non-coding RNA from Pteropus alecto (black flying fox), 969 nucleotides. RefSeq lists it as uncharacterized. Lineage: Eukaryota; Metazoa; Chordata; Mammalia; Chiroptera; Pteropodidae. The record is from RefSeq and is a predicted model, not a curated record. The transcript is spliced from 3 exons.